UGUACUUUACUUCUUUUACCCACCCCCCCACCCCCUUCCCUGAAAAAUAUCAAUAACUUGUGUACUUUAUUAUAUAUCCUGGCAUGUGUACAUUACAAGCCUCCCUCUGUGGAUCUAAGUUUUGCAAACAAAGGUGUAACAGUGAUGGGAGAAAUAGUAGUGGUGGACUUAUGGCCAUGUGAGCUGCUCUUUUAUAUUUCUACGUUGACAUUUUAUUAGGGAGGAGUUUGAAAGAAUCUUGAAGGGAAGUCUAGGUUGCACUGAAAUUUCCUUUAUUGUAUUGACCCAGCUUGUACCACACUAGAGAGCUGACGUGUUUAUGACUGAACUGAUUAUCGCUCACUUUCUCACUCCAUGGAAGACACUUGAUUUAGUUGCUGCUAUUUUCAUUCUUUUUUUAACUGCUGCUCAAACUUAUUUCACGGUUUUUCCUAUAAAUUGAUGCUUGAGCAGGAAUUAUGCCUUCAUGUGUCUUGAUCCAUCGUACAUUUUUUAGCACUAUGUCAGUAAUGCUUUUAAAGUAAUCUCUUUUGUUUUUCAGAUUUGCAUAGAGAAGGCACAGUUCAUUUGGAUUUGUUUGUUGUCUGAAAAUAAUCAAUCAUUCCAAUCUUGACAAAUAAAGUGCAAUUGUUUCUUUUCUCUCAUUACUACAUAUUUAUUGGUUUGAUUCCUUAAAAUCAUGUAAAUUGUUCAUUUCAAUAAAGGUGACCCUUUACUAGUAUUCCCCACUACCAUAACACAACAGGUUUGUAAUUUAAAUGAAAAUGAUAUGCAAACUGGUAAACUAGUUGUCAGGUAGCUAAUAGGUAAAAGUAUCUACAAUUAAUCAUCAAACUUUUGUUUCCUGCAAGCUCAAUUUAAAUUUUUUAGUUUUCUUUAAGGUAAGACCCGUAGAAAGAUCAAGACUAGUUAUAUAUGUUUAACUGAUCUUACAUGGUUAAGUCAUUUUGUGACAAUAUCUAUUGUCAUAUAAAAUGAAAGAGUGGAAUACAUAAUUGGAACCCCUAUUCACAAACUUUAAAUUUGUAGAAUAAAGCUAUAUUUUGUGAAUGUGCACCCUUCUGGUAUGUUGCUAUUUUAGCAGGUCUUCUUUCUGUUAAAUACCUGUGUUGUGCUUGUGCAUUUUUAAUAUUUAGUAAAGCUUUUGAGAAUAAUUGCAUUUGUGGUGACAUGAAAGUAUAUAGGCUGUUAUUUUCAAGCUUUAUUCAUCAUUUUUUACAUAACUAGAGGUCAUGUGACUGUACAUUGAGAUUUCUGCUAACUGUAUGAGCCAAACUCGAGCAUUGCCAUGUGUUUAUAUUGAGUGGCCUUGUGUUUCUUAUUUUCUUUGGUUGUAUGUCGGUAGAGUACCUUAUCUAAAACUUUCUCUUCUAUGCAAUUCGGAUAAAGCUGAAUGAAGGCGAAGCACUAAUUGGAGCAAUUUUCGAAGCCCCCAAUUUAUUGACAUGAUAGAAGUCCGGAAUUGUUAGAGCAACAGUGAUCACAACAAUAAUUACAUUUGAUCAAAGGGAUGUUGCAACUAGAAUGUAUUACGAGACCAUGGAAGGAAAUAUGAAGAGAAGACUUUAUGAUCUUGGAUCUCAAGGGAAACUCUAUUAUGAACUUGGUCCUACUUUCGAUCCUGAUGAACAUCACUCUCCAGCAGCACAUUAGUUAGCUUUGUCUUUCAAUUCUAUCAGUUGAAGAGCAAUUUUGAACGUUGAUGCUUUAGGAUUUAUGUAUUUUUGGAUCUACUUGUUAAUCUUCAGAUUACUAUUUAUAUGGAA
Long non-coding RNA from Lycium barbarum (goji berry), 1766 nucleotides. RefSeq lists it as uncharacterized. NCBI's taxonomy places the organism in Eukaryota, Viridiplantae, Streptophyta, Magnoliopsida, Solanales, Solanaceae. The record is from RefSeq and is a predicted model, not a curated record. The transcript has 2 exons.